AUAAUAUUUGAAUUCACAUGACAAUAAUAGACCCUUUGUUUUUAUUGUAAAUUUUGAAGAAAAUAUUCACAUGUAAAUAGUACAUAAUACUUUCAAUUCUAUAAAUUGGUAGUUUCAAUCUUUCAAUCUUCCAAUCUACUUUCAAUCUUCCACAAUCUUAAAAUUCUUGUUAUUCUUCAAAUUUUCUAAAGUUUUUAAAAGCAUUUUCUUUAUAAGGUGAGUUUAAAUUUAUUUUAUUUUUAAUUUAUUUUAAUUAAUUUUAUACUUUUAUAUGAUAUUGUUGAUAUAUUCAAUCGUUUGAUACUUAUAUUAAUGUUAAUUUUUCGUUUUAUUUUUUGUGUAUAGAUAUGCAUCUGUCAAAUUUAUACGUACAUCCUGGUCCAGUAGAGCAUGAUGUAUUAAAAAUUCAAGUUCAUCAUCGUUCCGAAGGAAUUUGGAACGAUUUGGGCAUGGGAAAGAAUUAUUCCCCUGCAACCAUUGCAAAAGCCUCUAAGAACCAAUCAAUUUGAGGCUUCAACUGUGCUUGCACGUAAAUGGACGUGACGUAGACUUUAUCAAAAUGAGGCACGAACUGUAAUCGGUGUGAUUAGGGAUGUACUUGAUAAUCUCACUGAUGAACAGUUUAUUUGGCAGCCUUAUUCGGAAGAUGUUAUUAAUGGAUUGCCUGAGUGGUGUCGGUCAGGACAACGUGUCUGGAUGGCACAGGUGCCACUGAUUUAUGGAAUUUAUCGUGAGUGGCACAUGGUUGAUCGUGUUGUGAGACAGUUCGAUUAUUUACAACAUAUUCCUGGACCGUGUACCCAAUUUUCCGAAUAUCAUUUUAAGCGUGAUAAACGAUC
Non-coding RNA from Solanum lycopersicum (tomato), 839 nucleotides. NCBI's taxonomy places the organism in Eukaryota, Viridiplantae, Streptophyta, Magnoliopsida, Solanales, Solanaceae. The record is from RefSeq and is a predicted model, not a curated record.